ACGCUCGACACCUACGGAGGCAGCAGUGGGGAAUAUUGCACAAUGGGGGAAACCCUGAUGCAGCGACGCCGCGUGAGCGAAGAAGUAUUUCGGUAUGUAAAGCUCUAUCAGCAGGGAAGAAACUGACGGUACCUGACUAAGAAGCACCGGCUAAAUACGUACCAGCAGCCGCGGUAAUCUGAGCGGGCUGGCAAGGC
RNAcentral lists this ribosomal RNA (197 nucleotides) under uncultured bacterium. Its description in RNAcentral is "partial 16S ribosomal RNA". It matches the Rfam family "Bacterial small subunit ribosomal RNA", at positions 328 to 539 of the family's 1533-position model. The record is from RNAcentral.